RNAcentral lists this unclassified non-coding RNA (249 nucleotides) under uncultured fungus. RNAcentral describes it as "partial contains 5.8S ribosomal RNA, internal transcribed spacer 2, and large subunit ribosomal RNA". The stretch from base 1 to 52 matches the Rfam family "5.8S ribosomal RNA", at positions 103 to 154 of the family's 154-position model. Lineage: Eukaryota; Fungi. The record is from RNAcentral.
AACGCACAUUGCGCCCUCUGGUAUUCCGGGGGGCAUGCCUGUUCGAGCGUCAUUACAACCCUCAAACAUUCAUUUGUUUGGUCUUGGGCAUCGUCCACCGGACGUGCCUCAAAAGCAGUGGCGAUGUUGCCUGGCUUCAAGCGUAGUAAACUUACUCUUCGCUUUGGAUUCCCAGGUGGAUGUCUGCUAACCCAACAUAAUUUUUUUAAGGUUGACCUCGGAUCAGGUAGGGAUACCCGCUGAACUUAA